CAUGCAAGGGGUUUCCUGAGUCCCCUCCCAGGGGCAUUCCCAGAGGGGACUACAUGGGGGACUUACAGUACAGGGCAUUUAUCCCAUCAGGCACUGCUGCACGAGAGGGAUCCUCCCCCAGGAAUAUACCGUUAAGUGGAUUAUCCCUCCGUGCAGCAGAACUCACAAUUCACCUUAAAUUCAAUAACUCUAUGAAUAUCUGGUUCACUUAAACGAAUGGACGUUCGGUAGAUAGCUGGGGUCUGAGCGCAUCAUUCGUGAGAUUACCGAUCAGAUCCCAGCUAAAACAACCGAACGCCGCACGAAAAACACAUUCACUAACACAUAGCCUUAAAAUACCGAUUACAUAUAGUGAAACAAAAUACCGAAUGUCCCGGACCUCCCGAACGGUCUGGAGGCUCAGCGGUGUUCGUGCCGUCGAGUAGCCGUUUUUAGUUCCACGUGCUCAACGACCAAACACCGCUGAGGGAACAAAGGAUCCAAGAUGGCCGCCCGCCGCAUGGUCGGUAGUCGAAUGACGGCCACCCAGGAGAGCCUCUAAUUACCGAUUGCAACAUUGUUGCAAUCGGUUAAUAGGCGCCACACGUCUCUAAGUGUGUGGGCUAUUAAAUGAUAUGUUGUUCAGUUCCCGAACGGCCCGCAAAGGUGCAGUUCGUGAAACGAAAGGAAUCAGCUAUCUGCGUUCGGCAGAUAGCCCAGGCAGGCAAUACAUUAUUAACAUUGCAUUACAUUACACACUAUAACACACAAUAGGAACCCCAUACCGGCAACCCUUAAAGAGACAGUACAAAAUAAUGUCCAAG
This 803-nucleotide long non-coding RNA is filed under the name Pelobates cultripes (western spadefoot toad). The record is from RNAcentral. Lineage: Eukaryota; Metazoa; Chordata; Amphibia; Anura; Pelobatidae.